RNAcentral lists this ribosomal RNA (460 nucleotides) under uncultured bacterium. RNAcentral describes it as "partial 16S ribosomal RNA". It matches the Rfam family "Bacterial small subunit ribosomal RNA", at positions 338 to 795 of the family's 1533-position model. The record is from RNAcentral.
CCUACGGGUGGCAGCAGUGAGGAAUAUUGGUCAAUGGACGAGAGUCUGAACCAGCCAAGUAGCGUGAAGGAUGACUGCCCUAUGGGUUGUAAACUUCUUUUAUAUGGGAAUAAAAUGUUCCACGUGUGGGAUUUUGUAUGUACCAUAUGAAUAAGGAUCGGCUAACUCCGUGCCAGCAGCCGCGGUAAUACGGAGGAUCCGAGCGUUAUCCGGAUUGAUUGGGGUGAAAGGGGGCGUGGGGGGAUUGUUAAGUCAGUUGGGAAAGUUUGCGGCUCAACCGUAAAAUUGCAGUUGAAACUGGCAGUCUUGAGUACAGUAGAGGUGGGCGGAAUUCGUGGUGUAGCGGUGAAAUGCUUAGAUAUCACGAAGAACUCCGAUUGCGAAGGCAGCUCACUGGACUGCAACUGACACUGAGGCUCGAAAGUGUGGGUAUCAAACAGGAUUAGAUACCCUUGUAGUC